RNAcentral lists this transfer RNA (97 nucleotides) under Gemmatimonadota bacterium. RNAcentral describes it as "tRNA-Sec". It matches the Rfam family "Selenocysteine transfer RNA". Lineage: Bacteria; Pseudomonadati; Gemmatimonadota. The record is from RNAcentral.
GGGAGUGCAUGGAGCCUGGUGGCUCCCUCAGUCUUCAAAACUGAUGCGACCUGACAUCGUCGGGUUGGGUGGGUUCGAUUCCCAUGCGCUCCCGCCA